GUGUGUUUACGCAGUCUCUCUCGCCCUCGUCUCGGUCCUCGUCUGCUUCGUCAUCUCUGGUGCAGGAUAAACACACAGCUGGAGUCGCCUCGGAGACACACACACACACACACACACACACACACAGAGUCUGGUUUCCAUGACUUCAGAGGACAUUACAUUGACUUACAUCUAACCUUUAAUCUAAUAACUACUGACCCUGUGACCUCAUGUCUUCACCUUAAAAUGUGCCUGAUUGUUGUCCCCAUAAGGAAGUCCAGUCCCCAUGAUGUGCCUGUGUGAACUGAUUUAUGUCCCCACAACAUAAGGAAUACCAGAUUGACCUCAAUUGCACAAACUUCCCAAAGACGCAGCAGAAGACCUGCAGAUGCUGUGUCCCUCACGGACUUUGGUGCAGGAGACCUUUUUCUGCCUGGAUACAGAAGUUUGUGUCUCCUCGUAAUCCGCCGACUCUCCUGCGUCGUCCAUCCACUGCUGCCUCUAACUUGCAGCUGUAAAACAGGAGAGAAAACAAAGCAGUCAUCCGUCCAUAAGGCUUCCACGUGACUGGCUGACGUAACCGAGCAGUUGAAGCGUCGCCAAUAAAGUGGCUGAAUGAUGGUGGCGACAGGAAGUAGCUGCAGUAAUGGUUCCCGCUCGUCUACGCCCCCUGGCCUCUGAUGGCUGCGCUGCAGCGUGUGAAUGGCUAUGAUAUAUGGAAUUUGUGGGGAAUCACUCGAGGCUCACGCUCCCGUUACCCAGACGGACACAAGCGUCAGGAGGGAUGUUUGGAUUCAGCUCCAGUCGUCACUUCUGUUUUCUAUUCUCUGUGUGAAGCGUGGAGACUUGGACUCUUCCCUGCAUCAGCUCUCCGGAGGCUGCGUGGCACGAAGACGACACAAGGUUUCUCCACCGUUUUUGUCCAUCACACUGAAACCUUUAUUUACUCUAGAUAUGAACAGUCGGAUCAGUCCACACCGUCUGACAUGAUUAUAAGACAAGCUUUGGUCCACAUCACGAGUCUGAGGCUGCUGCGACAUUUCAAAGUGGGACAGAGUCUGAGAGCCUGCAGCGUUACAGCAGACACACACACACACACACAGAGAGAAUCCCUCAUGAGAAACAUAAGCUCAAUGCAUCAUUUCUAACCUUUGCCAGUCACUGGAGCUGUUUGUUUUGGACUGUCUCCACUCUCAGUGUGUGUGUGUGUGUGUGUGUGUGUGGUCUAUAUCACUAUUUUGUGGGGACAAAAUGUGGUCGUACAGAAUUAUAGGGACUUGUCUUUGCUGCUAGGACAAAAAUAAAGUCCUCAUAACAUUAAUUAACACAGGGAUUUAGGUUCAGGUGUAGCUUUAGCUUUAAAUUCAGGUUUACGUCCAGGUUUUUGGAUUUUUUGGAUUAGGUUCCAUUUCAUGGCAAAGGUGUAAGUCCAGGAUCAAGUUCAGGUGUCGGGUCCAGUUUCUGGGUUAAGGUAUAAGUUCAGCUCAAUGUUGAGGUUUAAAUUUAGGUCCAGGUUUAGGACAAAAUGUUGGUUUCGGCACAAGUUUAGGUUUAGGUGUAAAUUCUGGUGUAAGUUGAGGUUUUGAGUUUUAGGUUCUGGUCUAGGUUCAGGUGUGUGUGUGUGUGUGUGUGUGUGUGUGUGUGUUCUCAGGUUACUGCAGUAAUUCUCUCCCACUUUCUGUGGUUUUUAUUACUCUCUCUCUCUCUCUCUCUCUCUCUCUCUCAGUCUUACAGGAGCUUCCGGGUAACUGUAUCAGCCAUAAACACACACACACACACACACACACACAGUAUAUAUAGAGAGAGCAGACAUGGGCUUGAGUGACCAAUGGUUGUUGAGUGUUUGCUAAAAAAAGAAGCUCUUUUGAUGGAGUUGCAUAAUGAGUGUGAUGUCAGCAUUGUUCUUCCCACGGUAACAAGUGACGCUGACGAGAGAGAGAGAGAGAGAGAGACAGAGAGAGAGAGAGAACGUGAAGGAGAGAGAGAGUCAACGCUGCAGGGAGAGAGGGAGAGCGAGAGAGAGAGAGAGAGUUUCCUGUCAAAACACACUCACACGGUUUAGAUCUCUUGGUGACACAGUGACAGAGAGGAGCUUCCCUUCUUCACACUUCCUGUGAUGCUGUUUAAUUACACUCUCCUGCUGCUGCUGCUGCACACACACACACACACACACACACACACACACACACACACACUGAACUUAUCGUCUCACAUCCAUCCUGACGUAACAGCACAGACAUAAACAUGAACUUACUGUGUGCGCUUUACUCACUGUUUAUUUUCAGGAAGGAGUUCCUAAAACCUUUAUUAUCUUGAUUGGCCACUAGAGGGCGACUCUACUGGUUUAUGUGUCACCCCGGGACUCCCCUGCAUGGAUGUUGUGUCACUUGACCAGAGAACGAGAAGAGAACGCGGGGCUUUUAUUCUGAAAACAAAAUCAGACGCUUAAUGUUCGUGAAAGUUUUGCGUUCCUUCGUAAUAUGUUUGCGUUUGACACGUCGUUUGAAUUCCAACGUUUGUUAACAACGUUCAUCCUUUCAUUACAAAUACAUGCUUUUAGGCUGGAUAUGAACAAAUACUCCUGAUUGUGUCUGUUAUUCUUCUUCUUGUUAUUAUGAUUUCUAGUCAGUCGAGUGUAAGACUGUUGAACCUUCACUCCAUUGAAUGCCAUUCCAAGUAUUUGAUGAGCCAUGAACCAUGUGAUCCAUUUACCAUCCAAACAUCCAUCGCUGAGCAAAAUGUCAAACUGGAAUGAGGAAUUCAUUUUGUUCUCUCCCUUCACGUGGGAUCAGCCAACAUGUUUCAGUGAUUUGAUCCUGGGGUUAAAAUAAGCUGCACGGAUCAAUGACGAAAUAUCGGCAAAUGUUUGAUGUCAAUAAACUUAACGUGAAAAAAAACCCCAUUCGACUCAUUAGAAGGAACAUCAUAAUAAUAAUUAAAUUUAAAAUGUCACCAUAGUUAAUGAACAAAAUGAUGUCUCGCCUGCGUGAUCAGAUUAAUAAAGUUUAUUCAUAGAGACGACGACAUAUGAAACAGACACAUGGCGGCGGAGUAAGUAAACAUAGACAAAAUGAUAUUUAUAAUACGACACAGAGCUGAUAAUCCUUUAAACUGAAGGUUGAUGGUUCCACUCUAAUUGUCAGGAGUCAAAAUUAACAUUUGAUAAGAGAAAAUUAAGCAAAUACAUACAAUUAUUCAUCAACUAGCAACAAGAAAUGACACGUUUUUCUUCUUUGGCUGUAAACUUUUGUGUUUGAAAAGAGUUUCAGACAAUACAGGUGUAUCCAACUGCAGCCACGCCCAUAGAAAGACACGCCCCCUUACAAAAAAUACUUGUAAUAAUCAUGUUAAAACGGUUUAAAUCUAUAAAUAUUAUAUAAAAGGGACAUCCACAGAAAUAGGUGGCAACGGGAGUUCUAGUAUUACAAAUUUUUCCCGAUUGUUGGGUGAAGGGGAGUGGUCUAUGUUGUCAUGAUCAUGUUUGUCUCAAUUCAAUCAUUUUAAAAUUUAAAAUUAUUUAAAAAUAAUUAGAAUUAGAUUUAGUUUUUGAUGAAUCACUGUGAUUUUUCGUGCUGGGUAGUCGAUCACCCAAGUAUGUUCCCAUUAAAUUUUGGUAAGAAUCGGCCAACUGAUGAUGUCAUCAAAUCUAUCUCAUUUUCAAGAAAUCCCCGUCUCUCAUCAAUGGGCAAAACUAAAAAAAAGAUAUAUUUUCUGUCACAACUCUGAACGUCGGAUUUGAACAAAAUUUGGUGUGUGUAUGCAGGCUGACACACUCUACCAUCAGACCAAGUCUCAUCUGGAUGUGUUUCAGAUUACAGAUUAGCCGGCAAUUUUAAAAUUAAAUUAAAAAUGAAAAAAUGUAACAUGGUUCCCAUUGAACACAUUCACGUGUGUAUAUUGGCAACAUCUUAACACAUGAGGAUGAAUUUUGUUAUGUUUAUGUAAGAUGGUAACAGCUAUAGGCAGGUUGUUACAUAUGGUUUCUAUAGGUUUAAUCACUGGAAAUGUUUGUUCUGUUCUAAACCUUGGAAUAUUAAGACCACAGCUCUGUUACAAUGUCCGCCUUCAGUUCAGUGAGUGCUGCAGUGUAACUUUAUCUCCCUGCGUUGGCAUUUUUGUCUGAUCGAGUCAAAGUGCAGCAGUAAUGCAGUAAAAAAUUCACAGGACUGUGCAGAUCACAGUGCGUAGACGUUCGUCUGGAAAACAAAGUGGAGUAAAAACACACACACACACACACACACACACACACACACACACACUGUUCUGUUAUUGAAACCUCAUACAGUCACGGUGUUGGUGCGAGAGACAAAUCAAGUGUGGCAGUGUCACAGUGUUUGUGUGGUCACCUUGAAGAGCCGCAAGCAUGCUGGGCCACAGACGGCGGUCUGAUUACUGCGCAGGUUCACGGGAAUAAUGAGCGAAUAAGAGCACGAACGCAACAGGAGGAGAAGUCGAUGGUGAGGUCUGUGUUGUUCAGAGCUGUAGACAGAGAUUUCACUCACGCUCUAAUCAGCUGCAGAAGCUGGAGUUUCAUCUGAUGUAGGAAAAAUGGUAUUAUGGUAUGGAGGCCCCGCAGGGUCAGUUUUGCAUUGCCUUCCAAUAGUUUUUACGUUCCUUGGUAAU
Solea solea (common sole) is the source of this 4602-nucleotide long non-coding RNA. RefSeq lists it as uncharacterized. NCBI's taxonomy places the organism in Eukaryota, Metazoa, Chordata, Actinopteri, Pleuronectiformes, Soleidae. The transcript is spliced from 7 exons. The record is from RefSeq and is a predicted model, not a curated record.